GAUGAACGCUGGCGGCGUGCUUAACACAUGCAAGUCGAACGAUGAAGCCCAGCUUGCUGGGUGGAUUAGUGGCGAACGGGUGAGUACACGUGAGUAACCUGCCCUUAACUCUGGGAUAAGCCUGGGAAACUGGGUCUAAUACCGGAUAGGAGCGUCCACCGCAUGGUGGGUGUUGGAAAGAUUUAUCGGUUUUGGAUGGACUCGCGGCCUAUCAGCUUGUUGGUGAGGUAAUGGCUCACCAAGGCGACGACGGGUAGCCGGCCUGAGAGGGUGACCGGCCACACUGGGACUGAGACACGGCCCAGACUCCUACGGGAGGCAGCAGUGGGGAAUAUUGCACAAUGGGCGAAAGCCUGAUGCAGCGACGCCGCGUGAGGGAUGACGGCCUUCGGGUUGUAAACCUCUUUCAGUAGGGAAGAAGCGAAAGUGACGGUACCUGCAGAAGAAGCACCGGCUAACUACGUG
RNAcentral lists this ribosomal RNA (465 nucleotides) under uncultured bacterium. Its description in RNAcentral is "partial 16S ribosomal RNA". It matches the Rfam family "Bacterial small subunit ribosomal RNA", at positions 28 to 507 of the family's 1533-position model. The record is from RNAcentral.